Molecule: long non-coding RNA, 1372 nt
Organism: Aegilops tauschii subsp. strangulata
Lineage: Eukaryota; Viridiplantae; Streptophyta; Magnoliopsida; Poales; Poaceae
Source: RefSeq, a predicted model, not a curated record
ACAAAAGACACAAAGCACCAGACUCCACAGCAUCAACACUCUUAGAGCAAGAGCACCACAGCCUCCCAGUCAUUAGUAGUUGUAGAUGUUUCAUCUCCACUUGUGAUAAAGCCUUAUGUUGAAGGCAUUGUAUCAUCAGGUAGCGAAGAUUGGAAGGAAGAAGGGAUCCUAUAGGAGAAAUCUCUGUCGGGAGUUUACCCUUGUGUGGCGUCUGAUGAGAACCUUGUGGCCAUAGAGUGUUCCCUUCAGAUGGAACUGCCUGGCAAGACGGACCUUUUAAGGCUGCAGAAACCAAGAAAAUGACCGAUGGUCUGUGUAGUGGUUGUGUUAGUCCUACUCGGAGUUUUGUCCAGAUCGGGGAUUUUUUCUAGACUGAAGACCCUGUCCUUACAGAGGAUCUUUUUUCCAAAGUGAAGACCUUGUCUUGACAGAGGAUUUUGUCCAAACUGAAGACAUUGUCCCCAUCAUAUUUUUAUAUUCUUGGCCUCUUGUGCCAUGAUUUUAUUUCAAGACAUCCAUGUGUCGUUGCAUGCCAUGAAGUAUUAUGUAAGCCAUCCAUGCAUGGCUUAGUAUUCUAGCUUGAAUGAAGGACUUUAUCUUGAUUGAGGAGUUUAGCUUAACUCCUCUCAUUUGCCUUUCCUGAUACGGGUGAUGCUCCUUGUUGGUCUCUACUUGCACAAAUAUUCAUCCUACAGAUAUUUUAGAUAUAUUUGAGGAUUAUGCUUAUGAUCUUCUAAUUGAUUGGUUUCCCGUGUCCGGCAAUAUCCAUAUGAUCUUCAUCGAAAAGAUUGGGGUAAUAUUUUCUAUCAUAUUCUUUCUUUAGAUUUCAAAAUUUCCAUCAUUUCCAAUCAUAAUUCUUUAAAAAUUUCUUCUUCUAGUUUUGCCUUCACUGAUUUUGUGAUCUCUUUAUAUUUUUCAUUUAUGUUCAAGUGUAUGUAUUCACUAUCCAAGAGAUCGGUUACUUUGAGAAGGCAUUCUUUGGAUGUCGGAUAUCUAUGAUGUAAUAAUUUUCCCCUAUUAAGCUUCUUGCGCAUUUUUAAGCUUCAUUGAUUUCGUCAUAUCUUUUCCAUGACAAAUGUUCAUUGUUUUGUCUUGCAUCAAAAUUUUCUUUUAGAACAUCUUCAAUACUCAUGUAUAUUUCUGGUUUGUUCCAAUCAAAUAUUAUAUAUAGUGUCUUUUCUUUUUACACCUUCCCUUUUGCAGCUUUGGGUGUGCCUUUCUUCAACAUGUUAAAGUAUUCUGAUAGUCUAUUAAGAAUUGCCAACAUGUACCUUUUUCCUUCUCUUUUACAUUUAUAUUUAAACCAGAAAUUAUCGUGUGUCCAUUGCUGGAUUUCAUCAAUAUGGAUAUGGCUCUUUUGUUUCAAAUUGAA